UACCGGAUGGUUGUUUGAACCGCAUGGUUCAACAUAAAAGGUGGCUUCGGCUACCACUUACAGAUGGCCGCGGCGCAUUAGCUAGUUGGUGAGGUAACGGCUCCCAAGGCAACGAUGCGUAGCCGACCUGAGAGUGAUCGGCCACACUGGGACUGAGACACGGCCCGACUCCUACGGGAGGCAGCAGUAGGGAAUCUUCCGAUGGACGAAAGUCUGACGGAGCAACGCCGCGUGAGUGUGAAGGUUUUCGGAUCGUAAAGCUCUGUUGAGGGAAGAACAAGUACCGUUCGAAUAGGGCGGUACCUUGACGGUACCUACCAGAAAGCCACGGCUAAACGUGCCAGCAGCCGCGGUAAUACGUAGGUGGCAAGCGUUGUCCGGAAUUAUUGGGCGUAAGGGCUCAGGCGGUUUCUUAAGUCUGAUGUGAAAGCCCCCGGCUCAACCGGGGAGGGUCAUUGGAAACUGGGGAUGAGUGCAGAAGAGGAGAGUGGAAUUCCACGUGUAGCGGUGAAAUGCGUAGAGAUGUGGAGGACACCUGGCGAAGGCGACUCUCUGGUCUGUAACUGACGCUGAGGGCGAAAGCGUGGGGAGCGAACAGGAUUAUACCCUGGUAGUCCACGCCGUAAACGAUGAGUGCUAAGUGUUGGGGGUUUCCGCCCCUUAGUGCUGCCUAACGCAUUAAGCACUCCGCCUGGGGAGUACGGUCGCAAGACUGAACUCAAAGGAAUUGACGGGGGCGCACAAGCGGUGGAGCAUGUGGUUUAAUUCGAAGCAACGCGAAGAACCUUCCAGGUCUUGACAUCCUGACAAUCCUAGAGAUAGGACGUCCCCUUCGGGGGCAGAGUGACAGGUGGUGCAUGGUUGUCGUCGCGUGUCGUGAGAUGUUGGGUUAAGUCCCGCAACGAGCGCAACCCUUGAUCUUAGUUGCCAGCAUUCGUGGCCUCUAAGGUGACUGCCGGUGACAAACCGGAGGAAGGUGGGGAUGACGUCAAAUCAUCAUGCCCC
RNAcentral lists this ribosomal RNA (1005 nucleotides) under Bacillus subtilis. Its description in RNAcentral is "bacterial SSU rRNA". It matches the Rfam family "Bacterial small subunit ribosomal RNA", at positions 167 to 1201 of the family's 1533-position model. The record is from RNAcentral. Lineage: Bacteria; Bacillati; Bacillota; Bacilli; Caryophanales; Bacillaceae.